RNAcentral lists this long non-coding RNA (420 nucleotides) under Setaria viridis. RNAcentral's name for it is "long non-coding RNA (SVIR_LNC005213)". Lineage: Eukaryota; Viridiplantae; Streptophyta; Magnoliopsida; Poales; Poaceae. The record is from RNAcentral.
UUUUCCGGAGCAUAAUUACAGUAUUUCAAAUUUCAAACUGAAUUCGAGAAUGGGUCGACUUUGUUCUCGUUGUCUUGUUCCUGGUCACCGGGCCCGUUUCCUCUCAUCCAAGGUUUGUUGCCAGGCCUGUUUCAACUAUGGUCACUUUGAGAGAUGGUGUCUUUCCAAGACCCGGCCCAAAUUUUUUUGGGCCUCCAAGAGACCUCCCAGCCCAACAAUGGCCCCUGAUACUGAGGAAGCUGAUGCAGCUAACCAAGAGGCACGCUCCCUCGAUUCUUAUGUGGCUGUCACAAACUCUCCAUCUUCCACACCAGUGCCCCAUGUCCCAUCAUCACCGCCAAGCAGCAGUUGCUAAUCCCGAUCAACCCCCCCGGUCACCUCCACCACCAGACACCAUGGCCUACUUCCCCUACAACCCGA